Molecule: transfer RNA, 74 nt
Filed under: Crassaminicella thermophila
Lineage: Bacteria; Bacillati; Bacillota; Clostridia; Eubacteriales; Clostridiaceae
Description: Crassaminicella sp. SY095 tRNA-Gly
Rfam family: tRNA
About the family: Transfer RNA (tRNA) molecules are approximately 80 nucleotides in length. Their secondary structure includes four short double-helical elements and three loops (D, anti-codon, and T loops).
Source: RNAcentral
GCGGACAUAGCUUAAUGGUAGAGUCCUGGCUUCCCAAGCCAGUUGUGCGGGUUCGAUUCCCGUUGUCCGCUCCA